UACAGAGGAUGCAAGCGUUAUCCGGAAUUAUUGGGCGUAAAGCGUCUGUAGGUGGCUUUUCAAGUCCCCCGUUAAAUCCCAGGGCUCAAUCCUGGACAGGCGGUGGAAACUACUAAGCUAGAGUAUGGUAGGGGCAGAGGGAAUUUCCGGUGGAGCGGUGAAAUGCGCUGAGAUCGGAAAGAACACCAAUGGCGAAAGCACUCUGCUGGGCCGACACUGACACUGAGAGACGAGAGCUAGGGGAGCAAAUGGG
This 253-nucleotide ribosomal RNA is filed under the name uncultured bacterium. Its description in RNAcentral is "partial 16S ribosomal RNA". It matches the Rfam family "Bacterial small subunit ribosomal RNA", at positions 524 to 776 of the family's 1533-position model. The record is from RNAcentral.